AAAGCAUGUGGGCAUUUCCUCAAUAACUCCUUGUACCUUUCCCAAGACUCGCAUAGAGAUUCAGUUUCUUGUUGCACAAAAGUCAUGAUUUCAUUUCUCAUUCU
Molecule: small nucleolar RNA, 104 nt
Organism: Vigna unguiculata (cowpea)
Lineage: Eukaryota; Viridiplantae; Streptophyta; Magnoliopsida; Fabales; Fabaceae
Source: RefSeq, a predicted model, not a curated record